CUUGAUAGUAGCACGGACGCCUCCGUACUACCAAGUUGUUUUCAAUAAUGCCGCUUCCAAAUCAACGAUCGGCUCCGUUAGACUUGACCUACACUAUUGACAGUAUUUGAAAAUUAAAUUUCAUAAUUUUUCGGUAUUAUUUAACUAUCAAACGAGUAGUCUAAAAACGAACGACUGAAAAUAAAAAUCUCAUAAAAAAUGAUGAUAGAAGUCUUGAAUUUAAGAUCAUAGGUACUGAUUUUACUCUAAAUAAUAAAAAAAAUAUAUAUAAAAAUUUCAUCUGAUUUGGAUUGUUUUACACUAUUAAAUUUACAAGUGCAUCACAUCUACCAUUAAAACUGUCAAUUUUAAGACAUUUUGAUCACUAGCCAAAUGAUGUCGAAAAAUUUUAAAAUUUAGUUUUCAAAUACUUUUAAUAGUGUAAAUUAAGUCUAACGGAACUGAUCGUCGAUUUGGAAGCCGCAUCAUCGAAAGCAACUUUGUAGCAGGGAGGCCUCCAUGCUAUCGAUAGUAUAGCAACUGGACUAUAUAUAUAUAUAUAUAUGAAAAAUAAAAAAAAUAAAAAAAAGAAAAAAGACAU
RNAcentral lists this long non-coding RNA (580 nucleotides) under Ananas comosus (pineapple). RNAcentral's name for it is "long non-coding RNA (ACOM_LNC016514)". Lineage: Eukaryota; Viridiplantae; Streptophyta; Magnoliopsida; Poales; Bromeliaceae. The record is from RNAcentral.